This 453-nucleotide ribosomal RNA is filed under the name uncultured bacterium. RNAcentral describes it as "partial 16S ribosomal RNA". It matches the Rfam family "Bacterial small subunit ribosomal RNA", at positions 28 to 506 of the family's 1533-position model. The record is from RNAcentral.
GAUGAACGCUGACAGAAUGCUUAACACAUGCAAGUCCACUUGAACUUCGGUUCGGGUGGCGGACGGGUGAGUAACGCGUAAAGAACUUGCCUCACAGCUAGGGACAACAUUUGGAAACGAAUGCUAAUACCUGAUAUUAUGAUUUUAGGGCAUCCUAGAAUUAUGAAAGCUAUAUGCGCUGUGAGAGAGCUUUGCGUCCCAUUAGCUAGUUGGAGAGGUAACGGCUCAACAAGGCGAUGAUGGGUAGCCGGCCUGAGGGGGUGAACGGCCACAAGGGGACUGAGACACGGCCCUUACUCCUACGAGAGACAGCAGUGGAGAAUAUUGGACAAUGGGCCAAGAGGCUGAACCAGCAAUUCGGUGUGGACGAUGAAGUUUUUCGGAAUGUAAAGUGCUUUCAGUUGGGAAGAAAAAAAUGACGGUACCAACAGAGGAAGUGACGGCUAAAUACGU